This 30-nucleotide non-coding RNA is filed under the name Mus musculus (house mouse). Lineage: Eukaryota; Metazoa; Chordata; Mammalia; Rodentia; Muridae. The record is from RNAcentral.
UAUGACUCUACACACUAUGGCAUGUUUUGU